This is a long non-coding RNA of Canis lupus familiaris (dog), 739 nucleotides long. RefSeq lists it as uncharacterized. The transcript is spliced from 5 exons. The record is from RefSeq and is a predicted model, not a curated record. NCBI's taxonomy places the organism in Eukaryota, Metazoa, Chordata, Mammalia, Carnivora, Canidae.
AAUGUCUUUGCUUAAUCACAGUUACUAUCAAUAUUCUGCCCAAAGUUGGAGAUCAAUUCCAAGUUAAGGAAAAGAAGAUAAAUAAGCCAGCUCUUCUGAAAGUGUAGUAGGAAUAAUAUCAUGGAUGAUAGUGCUGUCACUGCUAUUCUAAUGCUGUUGUAUGUGCAGUGUGAGGAAAAGAAGUAAAUGAAGAUACAAGAGUCAAAAUUUCAUGAUUAAAAGCAACUGAUAUGAGAAGACUGAGUGCACCUGACCAUUCAAGAGCUCUGUGUAGAGGCACAAUAAGAUUCAUGUGGUUUUCAUGUCUGCUAACACAAUAGCCAUUCUGCAGCCCGCGGAUCAACAGAUUUUGCACCAAGUCAUCUCACCGACAAAUCAUUAAUUAGAACCAGACAGCAAGAGACGCUCUCAGAUGCAGCAUCCCAGUGUCUCCACGGCGCUGAGAGAACAACUAAGGAUGUAUAAUGUGAUGUUGAAAUGGCAACAGACAGUUCAACACAGAUACUUUGAAAAUAACCAAUUCAAGUCUCAGAAAUUGCAAACUAGUGCUUUCAUCACUGCAUCUGCCCAAAGUGUGAUGCCAGUAUUUGGGCAACUUAGAAGAGAUGAGAUUUGGGGCCUCUGCGUGGCUCAUUUGAUUAAGCAUCCUGUUUUUGGUUUCAGCUCAAGUCAUGAUCUCAUGGGUGGUGGAAUUGAUUCCCAUAGGGCACCACCCUCAGAGGGGAGUCUGCCCUCUGCC